RNAcentral lists this ribosomal RNA (391 nucleotides) under Streptococcus constellatus. Its description in RNAcentral is "bacterial SSU rRNA". It matches the Rfam family "Bacterial small subunit ribosomal RNA", at positions 93 to 471 of the family's 1533-position model. Lineage: Bacteria; Bacillati; Bacillota; Bacilli; Lactobacillales; Streptococcaceae. The record is from RNAcentral.
GAGUUGCGAACGGGUGAGUAACGCGUAGGUAACCUGCCUGGUAGCGGGGGAUAACUAUUGGAAACGAUAGCUAAUACCGCAUAAGAACAUUUACUGCAUGGUAGAUGUUUAAAAGGUGCAAAAGCAUCACUACCAGAUGGACCUGCGUUGUAUUAGCUAGUUGGUGAGGUAACGGCUCACCAAGGCAACGAUACAUAGCCGACCUGAGAGGGUGAUCGGCCACACUGGGACUGAGACACGGCCCAGACUCCUACGGGAGGCAGCAGUAGGGAAUCUUCGGCAAUGGGGGGAACCCUGACCGAGCAACGCCGCGUGAGUGAAGAAGGUUUUCGGAUCGUAAAGCUCUGUUGUUAAGGAAGAACGUGUGUGAGAGUGGAAAGUUCACACAGUG